RNAcentral lists this unclassified non-coding RNA (342 nucleotides) under soil metagenome. RNAcentral's name for it is "partial contains 5.8S ribosomal RNA, internal transcribed spacer 2, and large subunit ribosomal RNA". The stretch from base 1 to 120 matches the Rfam family "5.8S ribosomal RNA", at positions 35 to 154 of the family's 154-position model. The record is from RNAcentral.
GUUGAAGAACGCAGCGAAAUGCGAUAAGUAGUGUGAAUUGCAGAAUUCAGUGAAUCAUCGAAUCUUUGAACGCACAUUGCGGCCAUAGGUAUUCCUUUGGCCAUGCCUGUUCGAGCGUCAUUUACACCCUCACGCCUAGCUUGGUGUUGGGCGUCUGUCCCGCCGUUUUCGCGCGCGGACUCGCCUCAAAGUCAUUGGCGGCGGUCGUGCCGGCCCCCUCGCGCAGCACAUUUGCGCUUCUCGGAGGCCCGGCGGAUCCGCGCUCCAGCAAGACCUUUCACGACUUGACCUCGGAUCAGGUAGGGAUACCCGCUGAACUUAAGCAUAUCAAUAAGCGGAGGA